This 448-nucleotide ribosomal RNA is filed under the name uncultured bacterium. RNAcentral's name for it is "bacterial SSU rRNA". It matches the Rfam family "Bacterial small subunit ribosomal RNA", at positions 328 to 793 of the family's 1533-position model. The record is from RNAcentral.
GACCCAGACUCCUACGGGAGGCAGCAGUGGGGAAUAUUGCACAAUGGGGGAAACCCUGAUGCAGCGACGCCGCGUGAGUGAGGAAGUAUUUCGGUAUGUAAAGCUCUAUCAGCAGGGAAGAAAAUGACGGUACCUGACUAAGAAGCCCCGGCUAACUACGUGCCAGCAGCCGCGGUAAUACGUAGGGGGCAAGCGUUAUCCGGAUUUACUGGGUGUAAAGGGAGCGUAGACGGAAUUGCAAGUCUGAUGUGAAAAUCCGGGGCCCAACCCCGGGACUGCUUUGGAAACUGUGUAACUGGAGUACAGGAGGGGCAGGCGGAAUUCCUGGUGUAGCGGUGAAAUGCGUAGAUAUCAGGAGGAACACCGGCGGCGAAGGCGGCCUGCUGGACUGAAACUGACGUUGAGGCUCGAAAGCGUGGGGAGCAAACAGGAUUAGAUACCCCUGUAA